GUCAAGUCAUCAUGGCCCUUAUGUCCAGGGCUACACACGUGCUACAAUGGGAGGCACAACGGGACGCGAGUCCGCGAGGAUUGAGCGAAACCUGGAAAGCCUUCCGUAGUUCGGAUUGAAGUCUGAAACCCGACUUCAUGAAGGUGGAAUCGCUAGUAAUCGCGCAUCAGCAUGGCGCGGUGAAUACGUUCCCGGGCCUU
RNAcentral lists this ribosomal RNA (200 nucleotides) under uncultured prokaryote. Its description in RNAcentral is "partial 16S ribosomal RNA". It matches the Rfam family "Bacterial small subunit ribosomal RNA", at positions 1184 to 1382 of the family's 1533-position model. The record is from RNAcentral.